GUGAAUCAUCGAAUCUUUGAACGCAAAUUGCACUUUCUGGUAUUCCGGGGAGUAUGCCUGUUUGAGGGUCAGUUAAAUAAAAAUCGGUGUUGUUGCGGCCUUUGGUGGUGACGCGUCGGAUUUGAAUCGUCUUACCUUCGGUGAAGUGACUGAAAAUUUUGGCAUGAUGUUCGAGCGUGUUUAAAUCGUUUACGUACGUGUGAUAUAGCGAAUGAU
RNAcentral lists this unclassified non-coding RNA (216 nucleotides) under Glomus sp. RNAcentral's name for it is "partial contains 5.8S ribosomal RNA and internal transcribed spacer 2". The stretch from base 1 to 71 matches the Rfam family "5.8S ribosomal RNA", at positions 84 to 154 of the family's 154-position model. The record is from RNAcentral. Lineage: Eukaryota; Fungi; Glomeromycota; Glomeromycetes; Glomerales; Glomeraceae.